AGUGUAAUAGCUCAGUAGAAGAGCAUGUGCUUAGCAUUUACAAGGCCCUGGGUUCAAUCCCCAGUACCUCCA
RNAcentral lists this transfer RNA (72 nucleotides) under Camelus bactrianus (Bactrian camel). It matches the Rfam family "tRNA". Rfam says of the family: Transfer RNA (tRNA) molecules are approximately 80 nucleotides in length. Their secondary structure includes four short double-helical elements and three loops (D, anti-codon, and T loops). Further hydrogen bonds mediate the characteristic L-shaped molecular structure. tRNAs have two regions of fundamental functional importance: the anti-codon, which is responsible for specific mRNA codon recognition, and the 3' end, to which the tRNAs corresponding amino acid is attached (by aminoacyl-tRNA synthetases). tRNAs cope with the degeneracy of the genetic code in two manners: having more than one tRNA (with a specific anti-codon) for a particular amino acid; and 'wobble' base-pairing, i.e. permitting non-standard base-pairing at the 3rd anti-codon position. The record is from Rfam by way of RNAcentral. Lineage: Eukaryota; Metazoa; Chordata; Mammalia; Artiodactyla; Camelidae. RNAcentral also lists the same sequence under 2 other names.